Molecule: long non-coding RNA, 787 nt
Filed under: Bos taurus (domestic cattle)
Lineage: Eukaryota; Metazoa; Chordata; Mammalia; Artiodactyla; Bovidae
Description: long non-coding RNA NONBTAT026044
Source: RNAcentral
GUGUGUGGAGUCUGGUCGUGACGAGCUUCAAAUUAGCUGGCAGAGAGCAAGGGUCAUGUUGAUAUCUGCUGCUGUAAAGUGGUUUUACCUGAAGCCUGAGGUUAACUACAGAUUAACAACUCUCUUUGACUUCAUAGAAAGUUCAUAGAACUCAAGUUUUUGAAAGUUGCUUAGGGCUCUGUUUUCACUGCUGAGGACCUUGGUGUGACCCCUGAUAGGGGAACCAAGACUCCCCAAGCUGCAUGGCCACACCAUAAACAACCCCCCUGCCCCCCUCCCCCGAAAAGCGUGUAUUAGAAAGAUCCCGACAUGAACUGCAAAGAUACUGACAUGGUUAAUGCUGACCAGCAUGUUAUUUGAAAGUUUCUCCUCUUCUUGCAAGCCUCAGCUGUGUCUCUGUAUGCAUUUCAAUGGGAUUUCUUAAGAUCCAAAGUUUGUGUUUUCAAAACACGGUUUUGGUUUUGCAAAAUAAAACUGCUCUGUGGGUGAAGUAGGGAUCGCCUUCCGGUCUCAGGGCUCUGACUGGAGACCCAGGUGUUUAGUGGUCCCAUGUCUUUCAAACCUGUUAGCAUGUGACUCUAGAAAUCAAAGCAGAGGAGGCAUCACUCAGAUGCUUCUUUCGGUUUGACCAGAGCCCUGAUGCGAUCUGGGGAAGUGUGCUUCUAACCCACACAGAAGCUUGCACAGCUCCUCUGCACCUGGCCCCAGAGGGGUGAAGCUUGCCUCUCUAUGCAGUAACCCUUCUCAGAUUUCAGCCAUAAUGAAUAAAGAUGUUUUGCAAACAUGC